This is a long non-coding RNA of Scaptodrosophila lebanonensis, 745 nucleotides long. RefSeq lists it as uncharacterized. The record is from RefSeq and is a predicted model, not a curated record. The transcript is spliced from 3 exons. Lineage: Eukaryota; Metazoa; Arthropoda; Insecta; Diptera; Drosophilidae.
AAAUAUGUCUAUUGUGUGACGGACCAUGCAAAAACUAUGUGGUGUGAAUUGUGCAUUAGGAACGUGCAGGUAAAACAGGUGUGUUUCCCACUGGACACUUGUUGCAUAUGGGAAAGAAUAUGCGCAAGUAUGCCAAGAUGCAAACGCAAACGGACGGAGUUCGGGUUGAACCUGCUAAUUGUUGCACUUCACUUUUCGUUUAAGCGGACCAGCGCGGUACCGGCGUUAGACGAGAUGAGGCCCUUGGAUAAGGGACGGACAGCGGGAUGCUGUUCCGUUGUGGGGGUCGGCGGACAGACCGACAGUGAACAAAUAUGGCGUAUCCAACGCCAGGAACAAGCUGGGGCGAACGGUCGUAGGCUGCACAGGACUUGGAAGGAACAGGAGGUGCACCUGAAGAUCCGGCUCGAAGGACAAUGUUGGCGUGGGGCGUUGGGGGUGAAAGUCCAAAAACCGCAAGGGAAGUAAAAUGGCGUCUGCUUUCCUUUUCACUGUGACGUGACUCGCACUGGCGCUUAGCUGCCCAUAUGAAAGAGGGAGAGGCCGCCGACGCUAGCAGCGCUCUGCCAGCAGAUGUUGCUGGCAAGCGUUGCCAUGUCAACACUGGCAGAGUGCUGCCACAUCAACAAAUAGGAAGAACGCGCCAAUGAAAUAAAACUUGGGGUUACCAAAAAAGGAAAUUAAUCAAUCAGAAGAAUGUAGCGGUCCUGAAAAUUAACACCGAUACAGCAAAGAAACAAAAUAU